AAGGCUAAAACCCAAAGGAAUUGACGGGGGACCCGCCACAAGCAGUGGAGCGCCUGGUUUAAUUCGAUGGUCAGCGAAGAACCUCACCUAGGCUUGAACUGUAGCUGCACACUCCCAGAAACGGGAGAAUCCUUCGAGGGUGCUACAGAGGUGCUGCAUGGCUGUCGUCAGCUCGUGUCGUGAGAUGUAGGGUUAAGUCCCACAACGAGCGCAACCCCUAUUCAGUGUUAUAAUUACUCUGAAGACUGCCCUGUCCAAACGGGGAGGAGGGAGGGGACGACGUCCAGUCAUCAUGUCCCUUAUGUCUAGGGCUACACAGACGCUACAAUGGCCGGUACAAUGGGUUGCCAAACCGCGAGGUGGAGCCAAUCCCAUCAAAGCCGGUCCCAGUUCGGAUUGCAGUCUGCAACUCGACUGCAUGAAGUUGGAAUUGCUAGUAAUCGCGAAUCAGCACGUCGCGGUGAAUACGUUCUCGGGUCUUGUACACACCGCCCGUCAGGGCACGGGAGUCGCUCUUGCUCGAAGUUCCCGAAUAAUUCGGGACUGAAAGUUAAGGGUGGCAACCAGGCUUAAGUCGUAACAAGGUAACCAAGGGCGAA
This 599-nucleotide ribosomal RNA is filed under the name uncultured organism. RNAcentral describes it as "bacterial SSU rRNA". It matches the Rfam family "Bacterial small subunit ribosomal RNA", at positions 890 to 1510 of the family's 1533-position model. The record is from RNAcentral.